RNA transcript from Andrographis paniculata, 12766 nucleotides. RefSeq lists it as uncharacterized. The transcript has 12 exons. Lineage: Eukaryota; Viridiplantae; Streptophyta; Magnoliopsida; Lamiales; Acanthaceae. The record is from RefSeq and is a predicted model, not a curated record.
AGCCGCAGAUCGGAUUUAUUCAUUCAUACAUUCACCUCGUGAUUCAUCUCUAAAAUCCCUAACAUCCCGACAAUGAUUCCAAUCGAUCUUCCUUGGGUUUUCUCCGAUGAUUUGUCCGGAGAAUCUGGAGCUUUGACUGCUGGCUUCAAUAUCUAGCCUCUGCUGAGGCUGUUGCCCAGGUUGGUUUCUCGAUCUUUACCUUCUUUACAGUUCGUGAUGUAUUUGUCUAUCCGCGAUGAGAUUAGACAUAGAUUGUUGAUGUUUGCAUAGAUUGGGGUCGAUUCGCUUGUUUCUUGCGUUUCCAUGGAUGUCGGUUAUGGGUUGAUUUCUGUUGGGUAACCUGAGUCUGAGUUCGAUUGCUUUCGAUAUAUGAAAGAUUCCUUUAAGUUUUCUUUUAGAUUUGAAUGUUUCUUGCAAAUAUACGACUUGUCAAUCUUGAAUUUAGCAUUACAAGUGGUAUUAGAGCUGUAUGGAGCUUGAUUUGUUUACUGGAAAGUUUGAUUUCGAGUUCUAAUGCUGAACAACUUGUUCUCAUUGUAAAGCUAAAAGGUGUUUUUGUAAAUAGACUCAAGAUUGUCUUUGAAAUCUUUUUUUUUUGAAACACUAUUGAAGUGAAGCCUAUUUUUAGUGGCGUUUUUUCACUUAUGUAAAGUUUGUUUCUCCUUGUGAAGGACUAAAAUAAAUCAUAUAAAAGAUUGAAAUCUGAAAUCAUCCUUAUGCGGUUGAUUUGUAUGGUGUUCUUUAGUUGAAUCAUCCAAACCUUACUAAUCUGUGUAUUAAGUGCGCAGGGAAUUAGAUUUUGAUAGGUGGAGUCCUUGCGGAUUAUGAAAAGAAAGUCAAAGAAUUGUUGCAGGGCUAGGAGUCGGUAACAAUUCGUUUUUUCCAUAUUAUAUGUGAGAUUUAUUUGUGCCGUGGUUGUUUUGUGGCAGUUCUGUGACUGUUGCGACUGUUUUGUAUGUAUCUUGCAAAUUUGUCAAGUCUGUUAGAAUUUUUUGUUGCAUAUACCAACAAUUAGUUGAGUUGGUUUCUUGAAAACAAGAAAUUGCUCCUUAAAUCCGUUAGUAUUUGUGUGUUUUGCUCUUCUGUGUUUAGUUGCAAAUCUGUUUUGAGUCUCUGCAUAUCCAUUGGUGGUCGUUUGUGUUAAAACAUUAAAACCUUUUUUUUUUUUAAUAUGUAUGUGAGUGAUUGUGGCUGAUUUAGUGAUAUUUUAGGUGAUUCGAUUUGUUUUCUUUAAAUAUGUUCUUAGCUGAAACCAUUUCUAAAAUCAGAUUUGAUAAAAUGGAAAAUCAAACCUACUUUAAUAUACAACCAUUUGAUAAAAAAUUGAUUUUGCUAUUUGAAAACAAAAGAUGAGAAGUGUUCUUAUUACUCAAAGAUUGAUUAAAGCCGUUGAACUAGAGCAAACAGCAGAUCUUCAUCUUGCUAAGAGGAAUGAGUUGAAUGAGCUAGCGUCAUCGUGCAUUAUUUUGAAUCUAGUUUACCAUGUAAUUAGAAAAUUAGGGGUUUAUGAAUCGGCUAAGGACUUGUGGGACAAAUUAAACAAUAUAUUUACUGAAACUUCUCUUCAAAAUAAGAUACACCUUCUAGAAAAAUGCUUUAGCUUCAAAUUAGACCUUUCUAAGGCAAUAGAUGAAAAUUUAGAUAUUUUUACCAAGUUAAUUCAAAAUAUAAAACUGACGGAGGAUAAAAAUAUUGAUAAUUAUAGUUUUAGUAUCUUGUUAAAUGCAAUCUUUAGUUAAUAUUCAGAUGUAAAAUCAACAAUAAAAUAUGACAGGGAUGUGAUUACACGUGAUGUUGUUAUUAAUGGUCUAAAAAGUAAAGAAAUGGACUUGCAACUUUAUAAAGCUAGUAAAAAGUCACAUGGUGAAGUCAUGCAUGUUAGGGGUAGAUCUCCCUUUAGACAUAGUAAGAAUGGUUCCUUUCCAAUAAGCAAGGGAAUAGGUCUACAAUAAGUCUAAGAAUAGGUCUUAAACCCCAUCUAAGUAUGUUAAACGUUGUUUUAAUUGUAGGGAUCCUUCACAUUUCAUUAGGAAUUGUCCUAAGAAAAACCGUAACAAUGUUAAUAAUAGUAACAAUUUGAGCAAUGGGACAACCCUGUUAAUACCACUUUAAAUGAAUAAGUAAACUUGAUUUUACAUGAUGAGUGUUUGGGUGAAAUCUUUGUUGUAACUGCUGAAUGUUCAAAUAUAACUGAUUUUUUUUUAAAAAAAAAUAAAUGGAUAUUAGAUUCGGCAUGCACUUAUGACAUGACUCAUUUCAAAGAAUUUUUUCGCAAUUACAAAACCCUUUCAAAUUGCAACGUGACAAUGACACAUAACAGGGUUUGUAGUGUUAAGGGAUAGGGACUGUUAUUUUUAGGUUUAACUUAAGAAAUGUAUUAAAACUGUGCAAUGUCAGACAUGUUCCUAAUUUGUCUAAUAAUCAGCUUUCUUGUGCUGGUCUGUCAUCCCUAGGGCUAGAAGGAAAAUGAAGAAUGAAUUUUAUGAAAAUUACAAAGAGUUCUUUAGUGGUUUUCAAGGCUGAUUUGAGAAAUAACAUCUAUGUUGUGACUGCUAUACUUGUUGUUAAAUCUGAAGUGUGUGUUAAUGUUGUCCAAGAUACCACUGAACUGUAGCAUAGAAGAUUAGGUCAUUUAAAUAAUAGAGGAUUAGAGAUUUUGCAAAAAUCUGACUAUUCUAGUUUUGAAAAAUUUUCAAAUAUGCCAUUUUGUAAAAACGGCUUUCAUAGAGAAACAUCAUAAAAUGUAUUUUUCCCAAAAACCUAUUGAAAGUAAAAAAAUUUCAAAAGAUAUUUUAGAAUAUCUUCACUCCGAUGUGUGGGGCCCUUCUAGUGAAUCCACACAUGAUGGGAGAAGAUAUUUGUAGUCCUUAAUUGAUGAUAAUUCUUCUGUUAAUGAUUCUAAUAAUACUCAAAAUUAGGUAGAGCAAAAUUACUAUAAUUUAGCCGAAUCAGAGGAUGAAUUAAUGGAGAAUUCUGCUUCAGAUAUGACUAAUACUUAAUCAACCAAUUUUGAUCCAGAUUACAGUGCUGGAAAUUCAGAUGUAGUUCCAAGCAUUAGUUCUGAUAGCUUGAGAGAAGAUGUAAUUUUGAUUGGGAGCUGAAACAAUUAGAUAUAAAAAACAACAUUUAUACAUGGUGAUUUGUACGAAAAGAUAUACUUGAAACAAUCGGAGGGUUAUCUUGAUAAAAGUAAAACUAAUCAUGUUUGUCUUUUAAAGAAAUCACUCUAUGGAUUAAAACAAUCCCCUAGGCAAUGGAACAUAAAAUUUGAUGAAUGUAUGAAAUCUUUGGAAUUCAUUAGUAUUAAAUUUGACCAUUACUUGUAUUUUAAAAUAGCAUGUAAACAUCUCAUCUUCUUGUUGCAUAUUGAUUAUAUAUUGUUAAUGAGUCCUAGUUUGGGAACAAUAAAUCAUGUGAAAGAUUGUUUGAGCAAGAAAUUUGAUAUGAAAUAUUUAGGGGAUGCAAAAGUAAUUCUUGGCAUGAAUAUAGUGAGGGAUAAGAAAGAUAAUAUGCUGUCUUUAAAUCAGUCCACAUAUAUUAAGAAAAUUCUGAAAAAAAUUCCAUGUGUGAUGAAAAAUUCUCAUCAGUUCCUCUAGCAUCUAAUUUCAUUUUGUCAAAAGAACAAUGUCCAAAAUUUGAAAAUAAUGUGAUUUACAUGAAGAAUAUUCCUUACUCUAAUGUCAUAGAAUCUACCAUGUAUUUGAUGGUGUGUAUAAGAACUAAUUUAGCGUAUGCUAUUAGUUGCUUUGAGUUGUUAUAUGUCUAAUCCGGCUGUAGAACAUUGGAAUGCAUUAAAAUGUAUGUUUAGAUAUUUGGUUAGUACAAUUGAUGUUGGUUUAGCCUUUGGUAAGCACAUAAGUUACGAUUAAACUAAAUGAGUAUGUGGAUUCCAAUUACGCAAAUGAUAGAAAUUCUAGGAAGUCAACUACAUUUUAUAUCUUUACUUUAUGUGGAUCAUGCGUUAGUUGGAAGUCACGACUCCAACCUAUAGUUGCUCUUUCGACUACCGAAUAUGAAUAUGUGGCUAUAAUUGAAGCAUUAAAAGAACCUUUGUGGUUAAAGGGUCUGUUAAAAAAAAUUAUUUACUUGCAUAAUGAUGUCACUGUUUUUUCGGAUAGUCAAUCUGGUAUUCAAUUGUAUAAAAAUCGAUUUUUUCAUGAUCGUACCAAACAUAUAGACGUUAGGUUUCACUUUAUUCGUGAUGUUAUGUCUAAAAGUCUUUUGAAACUUGAAAAAUACCAACUGAAUACAACCCUGCGGAUAUGGGAACCAAGGUUUUGUCAAUUACGAAAUUCAAUUUUUCUAAGAAAACAAUGUAUAUUGAUACUUUUGAUUAGAAAUGUGUUUGAAACUAUAAAAACUGUAAUUUACUGUUUUUAAAUUGAUGUUUUAAAACUCUGAUUUGAAAAGAAAAAUGCACUGGUUUCUUUACUUUUAAGAUACUGGUUUAGUUUUGUUUUUGUAUGUUGGGUAAAAUCUGUGAAUACUAAUCGUGUUAAUAAGUUUGCAGGUUAAAAGACUGAAAGUUAUUGAUGCUCGGACAAUGAUGUCACCCAUUUAUAUGCAGUUUCUCCGUACCAAAAAUGGUGGAGAUUUGUGGAGUUUUGAGUAAGUGACUUGUGAGGCCCAAAUGCGCACAACCUGACCCCUACACGAAACCUGGAUCCAGUAACCGCGACAUGACCUGAUUUUAUGCGAGGCUCAAUCAUAACCGUUGGAUAGAGGGUUUUGUUCUGAUCCAUUGGAUCUGCAUUACUUGAUCUAUUAUAUGGAUCUCCUAAACCACCGCAGACCGGAUUUAUUUAUUCAUACAUUCACCUAGUGAUUCAUCUCUGUAAAAAUCCUAACAUCCCGACCGCGAUUCCAAUCGAUCUUCCUUGGGUUUUCUUUGGUGAUCUGUCUGGCGAAUUUGGAGCUUCGACUGCUGGAUUUGAUAUUCAGCCUGUGCUGAGGCUAUUUUUCGGUUUGGUUUCUUGAUCUUUGCCUUCUUUACAGUUCGUGGUGUAUUGUCUGUCCGCGAUGAGAUUAGGCAUAGAUUUUUUAUGCUUCCAUAGAUUGGGGUCAAUUCACUUGUUUGUUACGUUUCCGUGGAUGUCGGUUGUGGUUUAGGGCUUGGUUAUGUGCUACAGUUGGUUUACGGUUGAUUUCUGUUCGGUAACCUAAGUUCGAGUUCGAUUGCUUUCGAUAUAUGAAAUAUUCCUUGAAGUUUUCUUUUAGAUUUGAAUGUGUUUUGUAUAUACCAGACUUGUCGAUCUUGAAUUUAGCAUUGAAAAAGUAUUGAGAUAAAAUAGAGACAUAGCUUUGUAGCAACGUUUCUAUUAUACACUACCAAAAAACAGAGUAAUAACCACGGGCUGAGGAUUCGUAACAAAAUCAUCAUAACAAAUAGAUAUUUUGGUUACGAUAAAAUCCGUGACAAAAGAAUUUUUGUUCGGUCAACGUUUCAGGCACCGUAGUUACGCAGAAUUUUACGUAACAAUUAGGAUAUGGUAAACUUUGGUCAAAAUAAUAUUAGUUAUGAUCAAUUUUCGUAACUAAUGAUAUUAAUUUAUUUUUUUCUAUUUAAAUUUAAUAUUUGAAAUUAAAAUAUAUAUAUAAAUGCACAUUGUCGAGUCUUCACCCAAAAAUCUCAACUACAGAAAUUAGGGCACACAUUCUCCCCCGCCCCUCGCGCUAUUCUCCUUCAUGUGCUGUACUCCCCCCUCCUUGUGCCGACACAACCAUCAUCGUCAAAUUGGUGGGAUUGACAAGCUACUCCGGCGUCGGCGUUCAGGUUCAUGCGAACUAGUCGAUUUUGGGAGUGGGUUAUGGUACGCCAUGAUUGCUUCUUCUUUGUUCAGUUCCUUAGGCUCCUGGAGGUUCUAAAGUUUUCCGAAACCCAGCAUCACCUUCUCCGCUGCAGAAAAUUCUGAAUACCUGGUUAUUAAAUUGUGGAGACAAAGGCGUGCGUGUGAAUUCAUGAUAAGCAGACUUGAGCUUAACGGAAUGUCUGAUUUCUUUUUAAUGCAUUUCCACUGUGCAAAGCUUCUAAGUGGUCUAUGUUUUCUCGGGUGGUGGUGUAGUUAAGUGUUGUAUGCAUUCCCAUAAACUUGAAUUAUUCUUUGGACAUCAGAUUUGAGGAUUUUUUUUCAUAUUCAUACAAAAGGGCAAGAAAAAAUUUAGAAUAGUUAGAAAUUUUUCUUGACAGAAGUAGGGUAUGGAUAAUUCUUCCUGCUCUAGUAUCUAGAGAUGACGGACUAGAAUUUUUGGCGGAGCGUAGAAAUCAUUCAAUUCUCAUGAAAUUGCAUCCAUAAAAGGUUCUGAAGUGGAGAUAAUGGUUGAUUUUAAACCAUGAGCCUUAAUGUUGUGAUAAAUAUUAUGUUUUACUUAUAAAUGCAGUACAUGGACUUAUAGGUACAAAAAUGCGGGUUCUUAAAGCCGAUGCUAUAACUUUGUUCUUUUAAAUUGAGGGUGCACGCCUGUAUUACGAGUUUGAAUGCAUGUUAUGUUGAUGGAAUCACAUGUAUAUUUUCUUUUUAGAUGGAUAAGAGUUGGAUAGACGAUGCAAACCAUAUCUCGGCUCAAUAUUUGGAUGGGGUCAGGGCUUUCUUAGAUUUUGCAUUCAAAGGUAGGAACUCUGAUGCUUCCAUCUACUGUCCCUGUACAUCCUGCGGAAAUCGCAUAACAAAAUCUCGUAGGGAUAUCUUGAUCCAUUGUAUUCACUAUGGAUUCGACCAAUCCUACAAGGUCUGGACUUGUCAUGGGGAAGGAGAGGUGAACUAUGCGGCUGCAGAAGACAAUGUUCCAAUGCGUUGAGAGGAUGAACUAGAACUUCUGUUGCGAGAGUGCGUAACAGCAGAGAAGAUCGGGUUGGGGCCCAGUAACACCAAACCUCUUAAUGAUAAGGAGGAUGAGCAUAUACAUCGUGGCAGUAAGGGGUACAGAAAAAUAUUAGAAGAUCUAGAGAAUGAGUUUAUACCAGAGUGCAAAAAAAUGAGCAGACUCUUGUCUAUCGCUCGCCUUUUGCACUUGAAGGUUUUGUGCCACUGGUCUAAUAAAUCUAUUGACUUGUUGUUAGAGUUUUUAAGGGAUGCACUUCCAGACAAUGUUGUCCUCCUGAAGAACUUGUACGAGGCUAACAAGAUCACAAAGGACUUGGGGUUCAAAUGCAAGACUAUCCAUGCAUGCAUCAACAAUUGCAUGUUGUUUAUCGGGGAAGAUGUUCACCGCGAAGCUUGUGUUGUGCGUGGGGAAAAAAGAUUCACACAGGGAAAGAUAGAUUUCCCGUGAAGAAGUUGAGGUACUUUCCGUUGAUUCCCCGAUUGCAGAGAUGGUUCUUAUCUUCCAAAAUUUUAUCUUCUAUGCGAUGGCAUGCCGAAGGGCGUGUCGAUGAUGGCAAGAUGCAUCACCUAGCAGAUAGUCCUGCGUGGAAGGGGUUUGAUCAUCGGUACCCCACGUUUGCUGAGGGUAUUCGCAAUGUACGCCUUGGGUUGGCCACUGACGGUUUCAACCUCUUUGGAAAUAUGAACGUCAGCUACAACAUUUGGCCCGUAGUACUUGUGGUAUAUAAUCUACCUCCAUGGCUAAGCAUGAAGCAACCAUCGUUCAUCCUUUCUACAAUUAUAGAUGGUCCGCAUGGCCCGGGGGAUCAGAUCGACAUCUUCAUUCAACCUUUGAUGGAUGAGUUGAAAGAGCUUUGGUGUGACGGUGUUCGGACAUACGAUGCGAGAAGCAAAGAGGACUUCUAGAUACGAGCUGCGUUGUUGUGGACCAUCAGUGAUUUUCCAGGUUAUGGUAUGUUGUCAGGGUGGCCAACUCGUGGGGCGAAUGCAUGUCCUGUUUGUGGUGUGAAACUCAUUCCAGGUAUCUAAAAAAUGGCCACAAAUAUAGCUACUGUGGGCAUCGAAGGUUCCUACUGAGUGGGCAUAAAAUGCACUAUGAUAAGCAUGCAUUUUACGGUAUGAUGGACUUUGAGACAAAGCAGUCUCGCUUGACUUCCAAUGAACUGCUCCAACAGCUUCAGGAUGUGCGAACUGAGUAACGUAAGGUUUAUCUGAUUCAGAAGGUUGUUGCAUAGAGAUCCCGAAAGCGUAUCCGGAAGGUAGAUGUGUACCAACGUACAUAGAAAAAAAAAGAGCAUUCUAUUCGAGCUCCCUUAUCGGGCCGAGAAUGAAGUACGUCACAACCUCGACUUGAUGCACAUUGAAAAGAAUGUGUGUGAGAAUGUAUUGUAUACAUUGUUGGGGACUAAAGUAAAAACAAAGGAUAAUCUCAACACAAGGAAAGACUUGCAGUUACUGCAAAUACGCAAUUCUUCGCACCAGGUCUCCGGCCCGAGGGGUUUUAUAUAUUUGCCUGUUGCUACGUACACUAUGAGUAACCCGGAAAAAUGAAUCUUCCUAUCUGUGUUGAAGGAUCUAUGACCACCUCAUGGAUUCAGUUAAAACUUAUCACGUCGUGUUAGGGUACAACAACAACUACUAUGGGGUCUUAAGAGCCACAACUGCCACAUUCUUAUGCAACGACUUCUUCCUAUUACAGCCCGACGAUAUACCCUUGUAACACAAUUAUAUUACUUAACACAAGUCACGCUUCCUCUUAACAUAAUUACAAGUGCCACUUUAUCACUUCUUACAAGUGCCUUCCCAAAAAUGUUGUGCUCGUGUUGAUUGAACUUUGUAACUUCUUCAAUUUUGUGUGCUCAACUAGCAACAUAGUUCGUGAGCUGGAGCGAAUACAGGAAAGAGUUUCGUUGACAUUAUGCCACCUUGAAAAGCUAUUCCCACCUUCAUUCUUCGAUGUGAUGAAGCAUAUGCCAAUGCACUUGGCUGAGGAGGCAAUGGUCAACAGUCCGGUGCAGUACUGGUAGAUGUAUCCCAUUGAGAGGUACCUUGGUACUCUGAAGAGGUACGUACGGAAUCAGGCACAACCUUAGGGUUCUAUUGCACGUGGAUACCUUAUGGAAGAGUGCGUGACCUUCUGCUCAAGAUAUCUCGGGGACAUAGAGACCAAAGAGAACCUGGGUGUUCAAGGUGAUGAAGAAGGGACACAACACGAGAAAGGAUUAUUUGGUUCUAGGUUUAACCUUGAUUACAAUACGAUGCGUCAGAUUCAUGGUUACAUUCUAGGAAAUGUAGAUGCAAUAAGUCCGAUACGAAGGUUAUUUCACCUCAACUUCACAAUAGUUGUAUGCAUUCUUUAUUGAUGUUCAAUAUAUUCCAAUUUUCUUUUGGCACUGUAGGCUUCACGUUGAUAGUAUUAGGUCUAGUCGAGGUCGUGCACCUCCAUGUGAGUAUCCUUUACCAGUAACCCUACACGGGAACACCCCAAAAAAAAUAUCGAAACCAUGAGUGUUCAUCAACUACUUUACGCCAAAUGUAGGUAGAUGAUCCAACGCAUAACGAUGUCUGCCCAAUCUCGGAUUGGAUAUGUGCAUUGGCCCGUGGACCAUCAUGUAGUGCAACACGGUACUCCCCGUGCACUGUUUCUGGAAUACGUUAUCGGGUUAAAGAUCGGGAUGCGGAAAAGAGGACACAAUGUGCAUGUGUUAUGGUUACGGCAGAUAUAGUAAGUUACGACUCCGUUAGGAACCAUAACCCACGAGAAGGUUCCGUGGCAUAUUACGGGAUUGUUACAGACAUUGUAGAGGUGUAUUAUGACAAUCCACAGAAGUACCUUCUUUUAAAAUGUGACUAGGUGGAUUCAGAGAGAGGUGUUAAAGAAGAUGAGUUCAAGUAUAAGCUUGUGAACUUCAAUCAUUUGAUGUAUCCGAAGAACUUGCCCACUGAUGAGCCAUUUCUCCUGGCAACCCAAGCCAAUCAUGUUUGGUACAUUGCAGAGCCGGUUCAGGAGAACUGGAGUGUUGUUGUUCCGGUGACUCGGCGGGACACAUAUGAAGUGUAUAGUACAAUCGAUCAUAGAUUCAGUACUAGGUUUGCUUUAGAUCAGAGGCAAUGCCAGAGAAGCUGCCGACUAUUGGCGAAGGGAAGACGUUGAGGGCCAGCUACUUGAUGGAACAACACAGAUUGACAAUGCAGAGAUUUCAGCUCGGUAUUCGGAGGAAACCUCUGAAGAUGAAUAUCCGUAGUGGUGAAGGAAGAAAGCGGACAUUUUUUAUUGUGUAUAAAUAUUGAUUAGUGAACACCCCCAUUUUGAUGGUGUGACAACCACACUUCCUUUUUGAGUUCCAACAUCAGAAUAAAUUUCACAUCUCAACAUAUGGUACUUUUGUCGUAAGGGUGUAUCAGUUCAAGUACACCUUUGGUAACAACUUUGAGUCAAUCAUCUCAUUUCAUCAACUCUGUUUUCUAUUGUUGUAUGUUCUUCGUCAGCUACUUGCAUUGUUGUAUGAUUUUUCGCACAGCAACCUAAUGCUUAUAUGUUGCAGGUUAUGGCAAAAACUCAAUAAGGUGCCGUAGGAGGGUCCCAGGAUCCGACUGGCUCGCCCGUAAGACGUGUUACCCGGGCAUCCGCACGCAACAGCCCCCUAGAUGGAACUAAUGUAACUAGCAGAAACUCAUCACUUAUGCGGAAAAUUGCAAAGAAAAUGACAAAACGAAAGGGAACGCGGGUCUCACCAUUGCUUCGGCAAGUUCCCUCCAUCACAUUAGAGUGGGAGAAAUGGGGCAAUAUACAUGCUCACACCAAAUCAAUGACAUCGUCCGCUCGACGGGCAGUGCUUCAGGAUUCACAGGAGCCUGCAGAGGUAAUGUUGCUCUUUUGCGUAGAUUGGUUCUUAACUUUCAUUGUCUUAAGUCCAUAAUGUGCUAAUAGUAUUAAACCCAACAAGAACAUAAUGCUAGGGAUAUCCCAACUUCCCUUGAACCAAAUGCACCCAUGCAAGAUGAGGAUGAGACAAUACCCCCCACACAAGUAGAUGACGAAACAAUCCACCGACGCAAGACAUGGAGACUGCAGAGAGUGAUAUGCCGUUCUUGGGUGGGGAAUUGGGGCCCGACCUUGUGGCGAUGGAAGACACAGAGGCGGGAGAUAUGGCACACUUAGAUGGGAUAACAUCAGAUGGCGGUUUGGAAAUCAUCCUUGACAGUUUAUGUUUUGCAUUAACUAAUGAAGAAAGUGCUGCACACGCUCCUUAUAAUAACAUAUAAUAUCUUUUUUGUAUUAGUUGGUUCCUCAAAGAAAAAACAGGGAAGGGGGGUAGCGAAAAUGCCAUAUGGAUGGGGAAAAGAUCACAAGAUACUUGUAUUCAUAUCGUCGGAUGACAAAAGCAUUGUUGGACCUGAGUAAACGAGUACAAGACCGCUAUUAGGGUCAUUGCGCGCAAUGGAGCUCGACUUCCUCUGCAUUACUCGACAUUUGCUGAAAUACUGAAGACAAAGAAACAUGGUGCAUGGAUGGAGGUUCAGAGCAACAACGGAUUACCAAACUCAGCAGAAAAAAUGGUCUUGGCUGACUUAAGGGAGGUUUGGAGACAUGGGAAAUACAACAUCAAAUCAACUUACUUCAACCCAAUCCAGGAUGACAAUGAAGCAUUGAAAAAGGUUCCUUCAAGCUGGAUCGUGGCCGAUCAAUGGCCGAAGUUGGUCAAGUACUGGCAUGAUGAAAAGGUUAAGCUUCAAUCCAAGAAAAAUGCAUCUAACGUAAAGAAGCUUCCUGCAUCGUACUAGGCGGAAGUCCUUCACGACUCUCGCCGAGAAGGUGAAGGGGAAGGACCCCGACAGUUUAGAGAUAUGGAUAUCCAGUCGGACACAAGGCAAGGGAACAAACAAUCAACAAACCGAAGAGAUAUUGACAUAUUUGCAGAAUGAGCUAAACAAGAUUCCCCCAGAAGGGCGGACUCCGGCUAUUCGAGAGACUCUUUAGCGACGGGUUCUUGGGGGAAAGAGCAAAAAAUGCAUUCCGGUCUUUGAUCGAUGGAAUGCUUGCUUGAAGCUCUCUUCCAAUGCUCAAAGGUUGACAGUGCUACGAGUUCAGCUCAUCCCCGCAGUGAUGCAACUGGUUUAAUAGAUACUGUAGCAUUCCAGCAAGGGUGGGAAGAAAUGCAGAGCGGACUUGCAGAGUUCAAAACCAUCAAGGCUGAUGCGUAUGCAUUCAUGCACAGAAACUCCAGAGCACUCGUAUUGAUACGGUCUCUGAGCUUCUUAGGUCUGUCUUUGAAUCACCUAUAAUGGUUGGCACCCGUGUUCUUAUAUUAUCUCGUACUGGAGAGAAGAAAAUUGUUGCUGAAGAACUUCUGCUCUACCCCCCUGCCCCAGGUGACACUUUCCCUAGUCAAGGUUUUUGUUACAUCUGCCACAGUCUCGGACACAUCCCUUAUUUUACCGACAAUUUCUGGGGCAACUACCUUUCGCGAGGUGGUCGGUGAAGAUCCUAUUGAGUGGAACUAUAAGGACAUAUAAAUCUACUUUCACAACUUUCACGUAUUGACUCCAAAAUUAAAAUAAUUAUUACUUAAACUAAACCUUAUUCUGUUGAUAAUUGCAGCUCAUGCGCCACCCCUGAAGCAUAUCAACCGGUUCCUUUAUGUUUUGCCUUUGUUUGCAUUAUCAAUUGCAUGUCGUGGAUGUGCUUGGAUGGUAGGUUCUAAUGGUUAUGUGAAAUACCUUUGGAAUAGAUGCAUAGACAUUUGGAUGUAUAUUUUGUGUGGUAAGAAUUGUUGUCAUGGAUUGAUGGAUUUCCCCACUUGUUUAUUAGUAGGUUGGAUGUUUGAAAUGCUUGUAUUUUGCAGAACAUAAUGUCAAGUGGAGAUGUUUCUAGCCUUGUUUGAUGGGUUGAUUUACUUUGUUUUUUGGUGGAGGACAUCGACUAAUAAAUAUUGUUAUGUUAA